This 434-nucleotide ribosomal RNA is filed under the name uncultured bacterium. RNAcentral describes it as "partial 16S ribosomal RNA". It matches the Rfam family "Bacterial small subunit ribosomal RNA", at positions 29 to 507 of the family's 1533-position model. The record is from RNAcentral.
GCGAACGCUGGCGGCAGGCUUCACACAUGCCAGUCGAGCGGGCACUUUCGGGUGUCAGCGGCGGACGGGUGAGUAACGCGUGGGAACGUGCCCUCUGGUUCGGAAUAACUCAGGGAAACUUGAGCUAAUACCGGAUACGCCCUUUUGGGGAAAGGCUUGCUGCCGGAGGAUCGGCCCGCGUCUGAUUAGCUAGUUGGUGAGGUAACGGCUCACCAAGGCGACGAUCAGUAGCUGGUCUGAGAGGAUUAUCAGCCACACUGGGACUGAGACACGGCCCAGACUCCUACGGGAGGCAGCAGUGGGGAAUAUUGGACAAUGGGCGCAAGCCUGAUCCAGCCAUGCCGCGUGAGUGAUGAAGGCCUUAGGGUUGUAAAGCUCUUUUAUCCGGGACGAUAAUGACGGUACCGGAGGAAUAAGCCCCGGCUAACUUCGUG